Molecule: ribosomal RNA, 781 nt
Filed under: uncultured Planctomycetota bacterium
Lineage: Bacteria; Pseudomonadati; Planctomycetota
Description: bacterial SSU rRNA
Rfam family: Bacterial small subunit ribosomal RNA
Source: RNAcentral
AGUUUGAUCCUGGCUCAGAACGAACGUUGGCGGCGUGGAUUAGGCAUGCAAGUCGAGCGAGGACAGUGCUGUAGCAAUACAGUGCUGAGCCGAGCGGCGUAAGGGGCAGUUAUGUGUGGGUAACCUACCUCCUGGUUUGGGAUAGCCUCGGGAAACUGAGGGUAAUACCGAGCGAUGUAGUUGAGGCGCAUGUCUCGACUACCAAAGGUCAGCCGCCGGGGGAGGGGCUCACAUGGUAUUAGCUAGUUGGUGGGGUAAUGGCCCACCAAGGCGAUGAUGCCUAGCAGGUGUGAGAGCACGACCUGCGCCACUGGCACUGAGACACUGGCCAGACACCUACGGGUGGCUGCAGUCGAGAAUCUUCGGCAAUGGGCGCAAGCCUGACCGAGCGACGCCGCGUGUGCGAUGAAGGCCUUCGGGUUGUAAAGCACUGUCAGGGGGGAACAAAUCAAUGAGUGAUCCCCAGAGGAAGCACGGGCUAAGUUCGUGCCAGCAGCCGCGGUAAGACGAACCGUGCGAACGUUGUUCGGAACCACUGGGCUUAAAGGGCGCGUAGGCGGUUUGCCAAGUCGGGGCUGAAAUCUUUCGGCUUAACCGGAAAAGUGGCUUCGAUACUGGCAAGCUGGAGGGAGGUAGGGGCAGAUGGAACUUCCGGUGGAGCGGUGAAAUGUGUUGAUAUCGGAAGGAACGCCGGUGGCGAAAGCGAUCUGCUGGACCUCUUCUGACGCUGAGGCGCGAAAGCCAGGGGAGCAAACGGGAUUAGAUACCCCGGUAGUCCUGG